Molecule: ribosomal RNA, 497 nt
Filed under: uncultured bacterium
Lineage: Bacteria
Description: partial 16S ribosomal RNA
Rfam family: Bacterial small subunit ribosomal RNA
Source: RNAcentral
GACGAACGCUGGCGGCGUGCCUAAUACAUGCAAGUUGAGCGCCGAAGGUUGGUACUUGUACCGACUGGAUGAGCAGCGAACGGGUGAGUAACGCGUGGGGAAUCUGCCUUUGAGCGGGGGACAACAUUUGGAAACGAAUGCUAAUACCGCAUAAAAACUUUAAACACAAGUUUUAAGUUUGAAAGAUGCAAUUGCAUCACUCAAAGAUGAUCCCGCGUUGUAUUAGCUAGUUGGUGAGGUAAAGGCUCACCAAGGCGAUGAUACAUAGCCGACCUGAGAGGGUGAUCGGCCACAUUGGGACUGAGACACGGCCCAAACUCCUACGGGAGGCAGCAGUAGGGAAUCUUCGGCAAUGGACGAAAGUCUGACCGAGCAACGCCGCGUGAGUGAAGAAGGUUUUCGGAUCGUAAAACUCUGUUGGUAGAGAAGAACGUUGGUGAGAGUGGAAAGCUCAUCAAGUGACGGUAACUACCCAGAAAGGGACGGCUAACUACGUG